This is a long non-coding RNA of Patella vulgata (common limpet), 1122 nucleotides long. RefSeq lists it as uncharacterized. Lineage: Eukaryota; Metazoa; Mollusca; Gastropoda; Patellidae. The transcript is spliced from 3 exons. The record is from RefSeq and is a predicted model, not a curated record.
UACAAUCCAACCAGGGAAUAGCGGGAGUGUAGACGAUCUGGGACCUAGCUCUCCAAACAAAUUACGCUCCUGAAGCAAAAAGAAAGAGUAAAUCGGUGCUGCCUGUUGUGUGUAUUAUAUGUAAAAAACGUGACAGAUUUGUCACUGUUGGAGAAAAUAGGAAGAAGGGUGUAUUAACACAGACUCAGACCCAAACAGGCUCAGGCCAACUGUUGAAAGCUGCUGAAUUGAAAGAGGAUGAAGAUAUUUUAAGGCAUAUCAGAGGGCAAGAUUGUGUGGCCAUUGAGGUCAGAUAUCACCAAAAAUGUUAUAGGCAAUAUACAUGUACUGAAUUUCUUAGACAGUUAUCAGAAAGCAAAGAUGACUAGCCCUCCGUCGAAUAUUAAACCACAUACAAUAUAUUCUGUGAAGAUGUCAUAAGAGAAAGAAUCAUAAAUGGCCAGCAAAGUUGUCUUGUACAGAGAGAGAGAGAGAGAGAAAUGGGGUUUAACGUCCACUCAACACAAACUAGGUCAUUUUGGGACUAACAUACGGUUUCAAUUUUAUUUCAAUAAUUCGCUUGCGCGUAUGGGUCUUUAGCAGUGAGAGGAAACCGGAGUGCCCGGAGGAAACCCACGAGGUUGAGAAGACGCCUCUAUCUCCAUGCCACAUACGCUCACACCUGGGAUCAAAGCCACAGCCACAAGCCAGAGGUGACCGACCAGCUAGAGGUCGAAGCGCGGCACUCUAGGCCAUCCCAACCCCCCUUUCUUGUACAGACCUGUGCAUGUGUAGUCAAUGUGAAAAUGAAAAAAAAACUGUUAAAGAGACCGAAUUUGAUGUUAAUACAUUUAGUGACAGUGAUGAUGAUAAUGAAGAUUAACUUUGAUGACAUUUGAUGUGCAGAGUAACUGUUUAAUUUUGAUUUUCAAUGAUUGUUUCACUUUAAUAAAUAAUUUCACAACUGUUCAUCCUGUUUUCUAACCUUUCCCUUCAUUCCAGCCCAGAUACACAAUUAUUUUUUUUAACUUAUAUCUACAUGUAUGUUUGUAAUUUGACCAUUAAUCAUAUCCGAAAUAGUAGUUCACAGCUACAUGUACAGUUGUAAAAAUACUGUAGUGGCUAAUUGAAAGGGAACAUGUA